AGCGAACGCUGGCGGCAGGCCUAAUACAUGCAAGUCGAACGCACCUUCGGGUGAGUGGCGGACGGGUGAGUAACGCGUGGGAACGUGCCCUUUGGUUCGGAAUAACUCAGGGAAACUUGAGCUAAUACCGGAUGUGCCCUUCGGGGGAAAGAUUUAUCGCCAUUGGAGCGGCCCGCGUUGGAUUAGCUAGUUGGUGGGGU
Molecule: ribosomal RNA, 200 nt
Filed under: uncultured bacterium
Lineage: Bacteria
Description: partial 16S ribosomal RNA
Rfam family: Bacterial small subunit ribosomal RNA
Source: RNAcentral